UACGGGGGGGGCAAGCGUUGUUCGGAAUUACUGGGCGUAAAGGGUUCGUAGGUGGCCCGGUCAGUUCGUGGUGAAAGCGCGGGGCUCAACCCUGCGUCGGCCAUGAAUACUGCCGCGGCUGGAGCACUGUAGAGGCAGGCGGAAUUCCGGGUGUAGCGGUGGAAUGCGUAGAGAUCCGGAAGAACACCGGUGGCGAAGGCGGCCUGCUGGGCAGUUGCUGACACUGAGGCGCGACAGCGUGGGGAGCAAACAGG
This 254-nucleotide ribosomal RNA is filed under the name uncultured bacterium. Its description in RNAcentral is "partial 16S ribosomal RNA". It matches the Rfam family "Bacterial small subunit ribosomal RNA", at positions 524 to 776 of the family's 1533-position model. The record is from RNAcentral.